GGGACUAUAGUUAAACAUAACAUUUGAGUUGCACCCAGAAAGUACUACACCAGUAGUUAGUCUCA
Molecule: transfer RNA, 65 nt
Filed under: Prorhinotermes simplex
Lineage: Eukaryota; Metazoa; Arthropoda; Insecta; Blattodea; Rhinotermitidae
Also listed under: 1 other name
Description: tRNA-Ala
Source: RNAcentral